AUACGUAGGGGGCGAGCGUUGUCCGGAACGACUGGGCGUAAAGGGCGUGUAGGCGGCGGUGUAAGUCUGGAGUGAAAGUCCCGCAUUCCAUGUGGGAAUUGCUUUGGAUACUGCAGUGCUAGAGUGCGGAAGAGGUAAGUGGAAUUCCCAGUGUAGCGGUGAAAUGCGUAGAGAUUGGGAGGAACACCAGUGGCGAAGGCGACUUACUGGGCCGUAACUGACGCUGAGGCGCGAAAGCGUGGGGAGCGAACAGGAUUAGAUACCCUGGUAGUCCACGCGGUAAACGAUGAAUGCUAGGUGUUGCGGGUAUCGACCCCUGCAGUGCCGGAGUAAACACAAUAAGCAUUCCGCCUGGGGAGUACGGCCGCAAGGUUGAAACUCAAAUGAAUUGACGGGG
RNAcentral lists this ribosomal RNA (397 nucleotides) under uncultured bacterium. RNAcentral's name for it is "partial 16S ribosomal RNA". It matches the Rfam family "Bacterial small subunit ribosomal RNA", at positions 523 to 918 of the family's 1533-position model. The record is from RNAcentral.